CCUACGGGAGGCAGCAGUGGGGAAUAUUGCACAAUGGGGGAAACCCUGAUGCAGCAACGCCGCGUGGGUGAAGGAGCGUUUCGGCGCGUAAAGCCCUAUCGGCAGGGAAGAAGGAGGACGGUACCUGACUAAGAAGCCCCGGCUAACUACGUGCCAGCAGCCGCGGUAAUACGUAGGGGGCAAGCGUUAUCCGGAUUUACUGGGUGUAAAGGGUGAGUAGGCGGCAUGGUAAGCCAGAUGUGAAAGCCUUGGGCUUAACCCGAGGAUUGCAUUUGGAACUAUCAAGCUAGAGUACAGGAGAGGAAAGCGGAAUUCCUAGUGUAGCGGUGAAAUGCGUAGAUAUUAGGAAGAACACCAGUGGCGAAGGCGGCUUUCUGGACUGAAACUGACGCUGAGGCACGAAAGCGUGGGGAGCGAACAGGAUUAGAUACCCGAGUAGUC
RNAcentral lists this ribosomal RNA (441 nucleotides) under uncultured bacterium. RNAcentral describes it as "partial 16S ribosomal RNA". It matches the Rfam family "Bacterial small subunit ribosomal RNA", at positions 338 to 795 of the family's 1533-position model. The record is from RNAcentral.